AGCCAAACUCUAGCCCGACCAUGCCCUACCUGACAAAAAUAAAAAACCACUCCACCACCAGACUAAAACAUUUUUUCCCAACCUAGUAUAGGUGAUAGAAAAGACCCCCUUCCCCCGGAGCAAUAGCGAACCCCGUACCGUAAGGGAAAGAUGAAAUAACAAUGAAAACCAAAGCCCUAAAAAGCAAAGAUAAACCCUUGUACCUUUUGCAUCAUGAUUUAGCCAGAAUAAUCAAGCAAAACGAAUUUAAGCUUGCCCCCCCGAAACCCAAGCGAGCUACUUACAAGCAGCUAUCCAUGAGCGAACCCGUCUCUGUUGCAAAAGAGUGGGACGACUUGUUAGUAGUGGUGAAAAGCCAACCGAGCUGGGUGAUAGCUGGUUGCCUGCGAAACGAAUUUAAGUUCUACCUUGAUCCCCCUCCAACGAGCCAAAUCCAAACAAUCCUGUAGCAAAUCAAGAGCAACUAAAAGGAGGUACAGCUCCUUUUAAAAAGAACACAGUCUCCCCUAGCGGAUUAAUUAACCCCAUACCAUGUAAACUGUGGGCCCUUAAGCAGCCAUCAACAAAGAGUGCGUCAAAGCUCUCAACUAAAAAAUCCAAAAAUAACAUGACUCCCUUACUCCAUAGCAGGCCAAUCUAUAACAAUAGAAGAACUAAUGCUAAAAUAAGUAACUUGGACUCCCUCCUCUCAAGCGCAAGUUCACAUAACCACAUUACUAACAAACCUCAACUAAUACUACAACUCCAACAAGACCAAGUAUUAAAUCCCCUGUUAACCCAACCCAGGUGCGCUUACUAGAAAGAUUAAAACCUGCAAAAGGAACUAGGCAACCCAAAGACCCGACUGUUUACCAAAAACAUAGCCUUUAGCCCACCAAGUAUUAAAGGUGAUGCCUGCCCAGUGAUAUAACAUAUUCAACGGCCGCGGUAUCCUAACCGUGCAAAGGUAGCGCAAUCAAUUGUCUCAUAAAUAGGGACCUGUAUGAAUGGCUAAACGAGAUCUUAACUGUCUCUUGCAGAUAAUCAGUGAAAUUGAUCUUCCUGUGCAAAAGCAGGAAUAUCCACAUAAGACGAGAAGACCCUGUGGAACUUAAAAAUCACGACCAUCCGCACACCAAACCCAAACCCAUCAGGCCUACCAACUUGCAGACAUUGGUCCGUAUUUUUUGGUUGGGGCGACCUUGGAGAAAAGCAAAUCCUCCAAAAACAAGACCACACACUCUUAACCAAGAGCAACCCCUCAACGUACUAACAGUACCCAGACCCAGUAUAACUGACCAAUGAACCAAGCUACCCCAGGGAUAACAGCGCAAUCUCCUUUAAGAGCCCAUAUCGACAAGGAGGUUUACGACCUCGAUGUUGGAUCAGGACAUCCUAAUGGUGCAGCCGCUAUUAAGGGUUCGUUUGUUCAACGAUUAAUAGUCCUACGUGAUCUGAGUUCAGACCGGAGCAAUCCAGGUCGGUUUCUAUCUAUGACAAACCUCUCCUAGUACGAAAGGACCGGAGAAGUGAGGCCAAUACCUCAAGCACGCCUCCCCACAAGUGAUGACAACAACUAAAUCACUAUAAAGGACAUUAACCUCAAACCAACAAUCCUAAAAAAGGACCG
Molecule: ribosomal RNA, 1609 nt
Filed under: Crotophaga sulcirostris (groove-billed ani)
Lineage: Eukaryota; Metazoa; Chordata; Aves; Cuculiformes; Crotophagidae
Description: 16S ribosomal RNA
Rfam family: Bacterial large subunit ribosomal RNA (bases 86-1523)
Source: RNAcentral